RNAcentral lists this ribosomal RNA (466 nucleotides) under uncultured bacterium. RNAcentral's name for it is "bacterial SSU rRNA". It matches the Rfam family "Bacterial small subunit ribosomal RNA", at positions 329 to 792 of the family's 1533-position model. The record is from RNAcentral.
GGCCAGACUCCUACGGGAGGCAGCAGUGAGGAAUAUUGGUCAAUGGCCGAGAGGCUGAACCAGCCAAGUCGCGUGAGGGAAGACGGCCCUACGGGUUGUAAACCUCUUUUGUCGGGGAGCAAAGCGAACCACGUGUGGUUCAUUGAGAGUACCCGAAGAAAAAGCAUCGGCUAACUCCGUGCCAGCAGCCGCGGUAAUACGGAGGAUGCGAGCGUUAUCCGGAUUUACUGGGUGUAAAGGGAGCGUAGACGGUUAUGUAAGUCUGGAGUGAAAGCCCGGGGCCCAACCCCGGGACUGCUCUUGGAACUGCAUGGCUGGAGUACAGGAGGGGCAGGCGGAAUUCCUAGUGUAGCGGUGAAAUGCGUAGAUAUUAGGAGGAACACCGGUGGCGAAGGCGGCCUGCUGGACUGUGACUGACGUUGAGGCCCGAAGGCGUGGGGAGCAAACAGGAUUAGAUACCCCAGUA